This 503-nucleotide long non-coding RNA is filed under the name Elaeis guineensis (African oil palm). RNAcentral describes it as "long non-coding RNA (EGUI_LNC074173)". Lineage: Eukaryota; Viridiplantae; Streptophyta; Magnoliopsida; Arecales; Arecaceae. The record is from RNAcentral.
UCUCCUCCUUCCCUCUUUCCUCCUCUUUGAUUGAUCCUAUUCUCCUCCAUCAUGACAUCACUCUUUUCUCUUCCUCCUUUUCGCCCUCACUCAUUCUCCUCCUCCAUGGGAGCUUCUUUUAUUUUUAUCCAUUCUUCCACCGCCUCCCCUCCCUCCUCCUCCUCAUCCUCCUCCCUUCUUCCUCUUUCCUCGCCUCUGAUUGAUCCCCUUCUCCUCCCUUCCUCCUCCUCCUUCUCCUUCUCAUCCUCUUCCUCCAUCCUCUUCCUUCUCAUCCUCUUCCUCCCUCCUUCCUCCUAUCUAAUAAUCACCUCCUCCCUUCCUCCUUUUCCAAGCCGCCCAUAAGCUAUCCCUCUCCAUGGUGGCUUCCGCCUCCUCAUCUUCUUCUUCCUCUUCUAAACCCACCCAUAAGCGAGAGACAUUUCUAUCCAUUAAGAGAACAAGAUAACAUCAUUUAUUGAUAAAUGAACAAUUAGAUCAUAUUGGAGUAUAUCAAUAACUAGAGG